Physcomitrium patens is the source of this 3364-nucleotide non-coding RNA. Lineage: Eukaryota; Viridiplantae; Streptophyta; Bryopsida; Funariales; Funariaceae. The record is from RefSeq and is a predicted model, not a curated record.
CAGGAGAGACCUCAUCGUUGUGGAUCGUCGUCACUAACUGACGACGUUCGUCACUGAGUAGAUUCGGAAAUGGCGGAUUGGAGAUGAUUUGGUGAAUAUUUUUAUUUUUUAUGUUUUUUAAUACGAAUUCACGUUUUUUUCCCCUGAUGGGAUGUUUUUUUUGUACGAAGUGUCCUUUGGCACAUUUCCCCAUGCCAAUUUGUGUGCCCCAAUCACACGAUUCACCCGAUUCUCGUUUCUUCGUGCUCCAUCCACCAUUGCGACAACAUUCGGCCUCUCGAUCACAGGGAAACACCCUCACAUCUUUGACAUUAAUCACGUCUUCCGAGAGGUUUAGUUUCUGUGUCCGGAACGCUUUUCUCAUGCAUUGUAAUGAAAAUUCGCCCAGUUCAUCGUGCUUUUGAAGUUGAAGAAACUAGUUGAGCUGUAUAAACCAUGAACGAGCUUCUAUAAUCAAAAGUGUGGCACUGUAUACUUAUAAUUCUGAUUCGUUCUGGUGGUGUGGAAGGGUCUGUUUAGUAGAAGGAUUGUCUCGGCUGAGGCGAGAGUUUGAUAUAUAUAUUUUGUUUGUUAGGCAGGUAGUCAAUAUUUCCUACAAUAAUGAACUCCUGACGUCAGGGAGAUGAUAUGCGGCAGAAGUUAAUUGGGAUUGUACUCGUUGGAUUCAUUAAAUAGGUAGUGGACCUGGACGAUAUUUUAGCAGAUUGCAAUGCCUCCGAAGUUGGGUACAUAGCCUAAGCUUAAAAGAGUGAGGAUUCCACAAGCUUGUCAGAGACGCCCUGCUUCUGAUGUGUGCGAGUUUAGAUGAGUCUAGCGAAUGUUUUCCUCGCUGAUUGCUUCAAGCCAAGAUCAUUUUCUUCAAGGUUCAUUAAUUCUGCCAGUAGCUCUACACAACAGAAUUGAAUCGUAGGAAGAGGACCUUUGCAGAAGCUACUGCCAACCUUUUUUACUUGUUAUCAAAGUUCAAAUGUUAGAGCAAGAAUUCAAUCACAUGUCCAGCUAUUUCAAGGAUUUUUUUUCGUCAGGAUUCACUCGUAAUUCAAAACCUGUUUGAAGACUCCGUGGACGAUCUUGAGAGGGAGGUUUACACUUCCUUGUAACUGAUCGAAAAGGCCGCUUCAGCUGAACUAUGGGGUGAGCAUUUCCAAUUCUGCGCGUUGUCCAGCCGGACCGUUGUGUACAAAGCAAUGUUGCGGUCUGAAGUGGUUGGUCUGAAGUUCUACGAUGACCUUCGCAACGAGGACUUGACGACUCCAUUUACCGAUAUAACAUCGUCGGUUAAGUACCGACACCACACCUAAGUGGCCUCUUGCACAACCAAUGAGAUUCGUGGGUCACAACGUGGAGAUCCAUACAUGGCAGAGUAUUUGAAUUGGAUGUGAUCGCGUGGGGCCACUCUGGAGUCUCCAACUUGACGAGGUCGUGAUGACGAGCUGCGCCCAUUUUGAAACAUUCUGGCUCCAGAUUCUGCAGAUGUGGAUAUGGUUGCAGAGAUACUGCUACUUUCGUAACCAUUGAUUUUUUUUCUGGUGGCUUAUUUUUGUGAAGUUAUCAGCCAAGAAGCUUGAUAAAUUCGGUUUCAUUCAGUUUCUACCCGGAGACCAAAGACAGUGCUCAUUAUCAAGAAGAAUUUACCUUUUCUAAAUUUGGACCUGAAUAGUGACUGGUUUCAACUGUUCGUUGAUGAAUCAGGUCUUGCGAGACCUUGUUGAGUUUGCAAGUAAUAGACAGCCGAUUUCUUUUAGGAAGUUGAGAAUGCAUCGAAUAUGAUAGAGCGUUUCGUGAAAGGUGGUGUAUGUCCCUUGGGCUAUUACUCGUGAGACCCAUGAAGUUAUUGCCGUAACCAUGAACAGAAUAGGUGGAAAAUCUAUUUCUGGAAAUCAAUGGUGAAGAAAGAUAUAAAAAUUAUGAUUACACCUCGGCAGUAUGAUCUCAGUACAAUUCAUGAACUUAUGGAGGGAUUAAACAAAAGAUCUUUACUCGUGACGGAUUGCAUUGGGUCUAUUCGGUGUUAACCAAAGAGCAACUCGAAAUCAAGAUUGCUUAAGGUGCAAAGCAAAAGUUUCAGCGAAUUUCGUUGCCGGAGCUGGAAUUGGAACAGUUGCCCGUGGAGUUGGAAAGGUCAAUCCCGAGGUCGUCCAUGGCUCAGUCUUGCAAAGACUCUGAUUUAACUGUGCAGAGUACGGCGGGUGGAAAAAUUGUUAUUAUACCAGCUGAGGGUUGCGGUUUCAAUGCUGAGGAUGCCAUUUUGUAGCAAACACAUGUUUGUAUGGAGCCACAGGAGGCCAGUUGUUUGCGAAUAAGAAAGCUGGUGAAUGGUUUGCAGCCCGUAACUUACAAGCUGAAGCUUUAAUCGAAGUAACAGGAGAUCAUGCUUGUGAAUACAUGACCAGUGGUUGUGUGGUGGAUAUCGGCAAGUGCUUCAUUUCAGAAAAUUCGUGUGUUAACAACGUCAAAUGCUACUACUCAUUGAGGUCGCAUAUGAAGAGAAGAGAUCAUAUCUUCGAACGUGUAUGUUGUGUUUACAAGGUGCGUCGCAAUGUUGCUGCUUGUUUGACUGAAGGUCUUGGGUACUUUUCCCUGGAUGAGGAUAACAGUUUUAUAUAUAUUAUGCAUUAGCUUCACCACGAUUGCACGUGCGCAUGAAGGCACUGAAUUUGCGUGCAUGUGAUGUCUUCCAUAGAAGUCCUUGGCUAGUUAAUGUGGAUUGAAUCCCGAACAUUUGACACUCUUAUCUCCAAGGUCAAUACGUAAGGAACUUUUUGUGAUAUUCGGAUGCUUUAGGAUGAGACUGUCAGCGAAGAAAGCUAAAGAGAUUCUGGCUAACUUGGAGAAGUCCCUUCUCCUCUUUUUUUCUGGCAACUGGUGCCACCAAGCGAGGAAGAGACUCCCGAAAUCAAUGCCAAUAUGGUAGAUUAAAACAUAGAAAGUAUUGUGACCCAAUUGGCUUAAAACAGUCACACCUCUGGCAUCUGUGCUUGCAGCUACUUACUAACCAUAGCCACCUGGUUAACUGAAAUCGGUACAUGGGUAUGAUAAAUGUUGGUGUAAUUACAUUGCAUCAAAACAUUAUUUUAAAUUAAGAAUGGAAGGGGAGCGGUGGUCAUGAUUUGAAGUGGUGAAAAGAAAAAAUAAGAUAGAGAAUGCUUUAUGCUCACUCGUUGAUAUCAAAGGUGAUGUCGGCGUCAUGGGGAUGUAGCUCAGAUGGUAGAGCGCUCGCUUAGCAUGCGAGAGGUAUGGGGAUCAAUACCCCACUUCUCCAGCACAUAAAUCUUAAUCGUUACUAUUAGCUAACGAUCUAACAUUACCCUGAAAAUCUUGAUGUUAGUUGGAGUUUUUCAUUUAUCUAGCUUAAACCAAUUUU